Molecule: ribosomal RNA, 492 nt
Filed under: uncultured bacterium
Lineage: Bacteria
Description: partial 16S ribosomal RNA
Rfam family: Bacterial small subunit ribosomal RNA
Source: RNAcentral
AGUGAACGCUGGCGGUAGGCCUAACACAUGCAAGUCGAACGGCAGCACAGUAAGAGCUUGCUCUUACGGGUGGCGAGUGGCGGACGGGUGAGGAAUACAUCGGAAUCUACUUUUUCGUGGGGGAUAACGUAGGGAAACUUACGCUAAUACCGCAUACGACCUACGGGUGAAAGCAGGGGAUCUUCGGACCUUGCGCGAUUGAAUGAGCCGAUGUCGGAUUAGCUAGUUGGCGGGGUAAAGGCCCACCAAGGCGACGAUCCGUAGCUAGUCUGAGAGGAUGAUCAGCCACACUGGAACUGAGACACGGUCCAGACUCCUACGGGAGGCAGCAGUGGGGAAUAUUGGACAAUGGGCGCAAGCCUGAUCCAGCCAUACCGCGUGGGUGAAGGAGGCCUUCGGGUUGUAAAGCCCUUUUGUUGGGAAAGAAAAGCAGCAGGUUAAUACCCCGCUGUUCUGACGGUACCCAAAGAAUAAGCACCGGCUAACUUCGUG